This 253-nucleotide ribosomal RNA is filed under the name uncultured bacterium. RNAcentral's name for it is "partial 16S ribosomal RNA". It matches the Rfam family "Bacterial small subunit ribosomal RNA", at positions 524 to 776 of the family's 1533-position model. The record is from RNAcentral.
UACGUAGGUGGCGAGCGUUGUCCGGAUUUACUGGGCGUAAAGAGCGCGCAGGCGGUCGUACAAGUCGCGUGUGAAAGCCCCCGGCUCAACCGGGGAAGUGGUGCCGAAACGACCCGUCUGGAGGGACGUAGGGGGACCUGGAACUUCCGGUGGAGCGGUGAAAUGCGUUGAGAUCGGAAGGAACGCCCGUGGCGAAAGCGGCUCUCUGGGACGUGACUGACGCUGAGACGCGAAAGCGUGGGGAGCAAACAGG